AGGAUUUUCUUAGUAGCGGCGAGCGAAAAGAAAACAGUUCAGCACUAAGUCACUUUGUUUUUAUGACAAAUGUGAGAUGCAGUGUAUGGAAUAUCUUAAAUCUAGUAUGAGAAAUUAACGAUUUAAGUCCUUCUUAAAUGAGGCCAUUUACCCAUAGAGGGUGUCAGGCCCGUAUAACGUUAAUGAUUACUAGAAGAUGUUUCCAAAGAGUCGUGUUGCUUGAUAGUGCAGCACUAAGUGGGUGGUAAACUCCAUCUAAAACUAAAUAUAACCAUGAGACCGAUAGUAAACAAGUACCGUGAGGGAAAGUUGAAAAGAACUCUGAAUAGAGAG
RNAcentral lists this ribosomal RNA (333 nucleotides) under Toxonevra superba. RNAcentral describes it as "eukaryotic LSU rRNA". It matches the Rfam family "Eukaryotic large subunit ribosomal RNA", at positions 71 to 387 of the family's 3401-position model. The record is from RNAcentral. Lineage: Eukaryota; Metazoa; Arthropoda; Insecta; Diptera; Pallopteridae.